RNAcentral lists this ribosomal RNA (381 nucleotides) under uncultured bacterium. RNAcentral's name for it is "bacterial SSU rRNA". It matches the Rfam family "Bacterial small subunit ribosomal RNA", at positions 28 to 409 of the family's 1533-position model. The record is from RNAcentral.
GACGAACGCUGGCGGCGUGCUUAACACAUGCAAGUCGAGCGGUAAGGCCCUUUCGGGGGUACACGAGCGGCGAACGGGUGAGUAACACGUGGGUGACCUGCCCUUAGCUCUGGGAUAAGCCUGGGAAACUGGGUCUAAUACCGGAUAUGACUCCAUGACGCAUGUUGUGGGGUGGAAAGCCUUGUGCGGCUAGGGAUGGGCCCGCGGCCUAUCAGCUUGUUGGUGGGGUGAUGGCCUACCAAGGCGACGACGGGUAGCCGGCCUGAGAGGGCGACCGGCCACACUGGGACUGAGACACGGCCCAGACUCCUACGGGAGGCAGCAGGUGGGGAAUCUUGCGCAAUGGGCGAAAGCCUGACGCAGCGACGCCGCGUGAGGGAU